GCCGGAUUAGCUCAACUAGUAGAGCGGCUGUUUUGUAAACAGCGGGUUAUCGGUUCGAGUCCCUCAUCCGGCA
Molecule: transfer RNA, 73 nt
Filed under: Defluviicoccus sp.
Lineage: Bacteria; Pseudomonadati; Pseudomonadota; Alphaproteobacteria; Rhodospirillales; Rhodospirillaceae
Description: tRNA-Thr
Rfam family: tRNA
About the family: Transfer RNA (tRNA) molecules are approximately 80 nucleotides in length. Their secondary structure includes four short double-helical elements and three loops (D, anti-codon, and T loops).
Source: RNAcentral